UGGGGAAUUUUGGACAAUGGGCGAAAGCCUGAUCCAGCAAUGCCGCGUGCAGGAAGAAGGCCUUCGGGUUGUAAACUGCUUUUGUACGGAACGAAAAGGCUCUUUCUAAUAAAGAGGGCCCAUGACGGUACCGUAAGAAUAAGCACCGGCUAACUACGUGCCAGCAGCCGCGGUAAUACGUAGGGUGCGAGCGUUAAUCGGAAUUACUGGGCGUAAAGCGUGCGCAGGCGGUUCUAUAAGACAGAUGUGAAAUCCCCGGGCUCAACCUGGGAAUGGCAUUUGUGACUGUAGAGCUAGAGUACGGUAGAGGGGGAUGGAAUUCCGCGUGUAGCAGUGAAAUGCGUAGAUAUGCGGAGGAACACCGAUGGCGAAGGCAAUCCCCUGGACCUGUACUGACGCUUAUGCACGAAAGCGUGGGGAGCAAACAGGAUUAGAUACCCCCGUAGUCCCUGAGCGGGCUGGCAAGGCGCAU
RNAcentral lists this ribosomal RNA (472 nucleotides) under uncultured bacterium. RNAcentral describes it as "bacterial SSU rRNA". It matches the Rfam family "Bacterial small subunit ribosomal RNA", at positions 355 to 825 of the family's 1533-position model. The record is from RNAcentral.